RNAcentral lists this ribosomal RNA (342 nucleotides) under uncultured bacterium. RNAcentral describes it as "bacterial SSU rRNA". It matches the Rfam family "Bacterial small subunit ribosomal RNA", at positions 18 to 344 of the family's 1533-position model. The record is from RNAcentral.
CCUGGCUCAGGACGAACGCUGGCGGCGUGCCUAAUACAUGCAAGUCGAACGAACCGCGACUGAGUGCUUGCACUUGGUCAAGGUGAGUGGCGAACGGGCGAGUAACACGUGGGUAACCUACCUCAUAGUGGGGGAUAACAGUCGGAAACGACUGCUAAUACCGCAUAGGACAUGGGAUCACAUGAUUCCGUGAGGAAAGGUGGCGCAAGCUAUCGCUAAGAGAUGGACCCGCGGUGCAUUAGCUAGUUGGUAGGGUAACGGCCUACCAAGGCAAUGAUGCAUAGCCGACCUGAUAAUGUGAUCGGCCACAUUGGGACUGAGACACGUCCCAAACUCCUACGG